Molecule: non-coding RNA, 23 nt
Filed under: Cricetulus griseus (Chinese hamster)
Lineage: Eukaryota; Metazoa; Chordata; Mammalia; Rodentia; Cricetidae
Source: RNAcentral
CCUGGAGGACAAAAAGCAGGCAG